GUGGGGAAUUUUGGACAAUGGGCGCAAGCCUGAUCCAGCAAUGCCGCGUGCAGGAAGAAGGCCUUCGGGUUGUAAACUGCUUUUGUACGGAACGAAAAGGCUCUGGUUAAUACCUGGGGCUCAUGACGGUACCGUAAGAAUAAGCACCGGCUAACUACGUGCCAGCAGCCGCGGUAAUACGUAGGGUGCAAGCGUUAAUCGGAAUUACUGGGCGUAAAGCGUGCGCAGGCGGUUUUGUAAGACAGGCGUGAAAUCCCCGGGCUCAACCUGGGAAUGGCGCUUGUGACUGCAAGGCUGGAGUGCGGCAGAGGGGGAUGGAAUUCCGCGUGUAGCAGUGAAAUGCGUAGAUAUGCGGAGGAACACCGAUGGCGAAGGCAAUCCCCUGGGCCUGCACUGACGCUCAUGCACGAAAGCGUGGGGAGCAAACAGGAUUAGAUACCCUAGUAGUCC
Molecule: ribosomal RNA, 450 nt
Filed under: uncultured bacterium
Lineage: Bacteria
Description: partial 16S ribosomal RNA
Rfam family: Bacterial small subunit ribosomal RNA
Source: RNAcentral